CCCAGGUGUUUGUCUCAACAGCUCCAUAAAACCGAAACUCUGGAUUUUUAGCACGCCCCCCUAGUUUGCCACACUUCUUCAUCUCUGAACUCCUGAACUCCUGGAUGGCUCAGCCUCUGCACAACUCAUUCUGGUCUUUCCUCACGUUUCUUCCCACCUCAUGUGCUGCUGCCUGCUUCCUGUGUGCCUGACUCGGCUCCCGAAGGACCAAAGAGGAUACUCCCCACACUUCGUCCUGGACACCUUGGAUGAAGUAAGGCCCCUUGAGAACACUCGGGGAAAUGUGGACCACACGUGUCAUCUCAGGGGCAUGAGGCAAAGGAUAUUUUGGUGGUGGUGAUGAUCUAUUUAAAAAAAAAAAAACGUAUUUCAUAUUUUGCUUCUUAGUAUUUUAGUGUUUUCUGUGGCAAUUAUGUAUGACAUAUGUGGGCUGGUCCUCAAGAUUAAUGCUCAGAAAAGAGCAAAUUGUCUUAGUCAUCUUAAGAAGGCAUUGGGGAAGAUGAUUUGUGCCCCACCUUUAUUCUCGUGAAUUUAUUGUGUCCCACAGACAUGGUCACAGGCAACUCUCCCUGAUAGAGAAAAUUUCCCAUGCCCCCCCCCAACUUAUCAACACAAGUGAUUCACCCAACCUAAGACCCUACCUAGCCCUCCCUAGCUAAAGAAGCCUUUCGAGAUGCAAACUGGGCCAUCUGCCCAAGACGUGUGAGGAGCACAGCGGCGGUUCUCGGGCGCCAGUCCACUUGUCCUGCGCCAGUGUGUGUCACUCUGUCUUGUUUCAUCUCCCAGCCCAAGGGCUUCGUGCCAUCCACUCGCCUACCCUGAUGACAGAGAAGAGCCAGCCCGUGUUCCAGAACCAUCCCAUUCCCAUCCCACCAGGUCCGAGGCAGCUGUGCUUCCCCGUGGAUCCCGCACAGAGUUCUUCUCUCACACUCGCUCCCCAGACACCCACCAGGAGGCAUUGUUCAAGUGUUCUCUGAAUUCUGCACUUCAUUCUCGUCACUUACAUAACCAAACCCAAGUUUAAAAACAUACACACGCAUUCAGGAAAGAGAUGGCUGAAUCUGAUUUAAAAAAAACUGGCUUCACACGACCACAGUUGUUGGGGAACUGAGCCUCCCUGGGCUACAUUUCUGACUUGGCAGCGCGCUAGCAUAUCUAAUUUUCCACCUGCAGAAGCCUGCGGCCAACCCUGCGCACACAGCUACCUGCAGCGGGGAGAAGCAGCCAAACAGAAGGGGUGAGCGGGGCGGCUGGCUGGGGUCACAGGGAGGCUCUGCAGGGCGAUGGGGCAGGCAAGGGGCUCUGCUCUCCUUCCCUACAGCAGCAGCACUCACUCCCUGACGCUACAGCUUCCUGCUCCAGGACAAAAACACGUGCGGAUAACAGCAAUCGCGUUGCUGAGGACCAGAAGGAGAAGCUGCAGACUCCAGCCCCCGAGUGAAUUCUGACCUACAGACCUGUUUUGUCUAGGUCUCUUUGUGAUUUUCACGUGUGCAAAUUAACUGUCAAUUUUCGACAUUUUGGACAAUUCUGGAACUGUCUGGUCUGUCUUCCCGCUACUACCCCUGCAAAAUCAGACAAUCAGAUAACUCCGGACCUUGGUGGCCACCACAAGCCGGUACAAAGAGACACAAUGAAAAGGGUAUACGAGUUUGAGCUCUCACAGCAAGCAUGCCCUGGAACUCCAAUCUUACCAAAUGGCGAUGUGGUUUCAGGCAAGUUACUUCGCCUACUCAUUCAGAAACUUCUGUUGUCUAAUUAUCUCUUGUUUUUAAGCUGGGUGUGUGUGUGUGUGUGUGUGUGUGUGUGUGUGUGUGUGUGCGUGUGGAAGUCCACAGAGGACCACAGAGGACAACUUGUGGGACUCAGACCUCUCCAGACAAAAUGUGAGCACAUGUAAAAGUUAGAAGGUGACGAUAAGACCUUCCUUGGCACCUCAGUAACACUGAAGAGACACCUCAUCUAACCUACAGCCCUGAUGUGUCACCCUCCCUGAUCCAUCCCAGGCACAGCCUGGAGAGAGAGAAAGAGAGAGAGAGAGAGAGAGAGAGAGAGAGAGAGAGAGAGAGAGGAGAUCUCCCUCCCCAUGACAACGAUGGCUAAGGCAACUGCCUCUUUUCUGAGCACUCAUCUGGAGGGGCUGAUGACCAUCGGCCCAAAGGGCUCACUUGGUAUGUCCCUUUGUCGUGCCCAGAAGUCUCAGGCCCUUCCAAAGUCUCCCCAGAAGGUCUUUUCUCAAAACCUAUCCCAACACUGCUUGUGGGAGCUCGUGACAAAAUGGCUCUUCCAGUGAUGGGAAGUGACAACCCCAAAUCACAUAAAUAUUUGGAGUCUGCCUUUGGAAAACUGGCAAAAAAAAAAAAAAAAAAAAGAGCUCGCUCAGGCAGACACCGCUAUACGUUCCCUAACUGCUUCAUUACCCCCUCAGCAAUCCACAAGAUGAAACUUCCCACACCCCUUUGCCUCUAAGUGAGACCAUCUGACUGAUUAAAAGAAUGUGAAUGGAAGCAAUAUAAGCUGCUUCCAAGCAAGGCCAUAAAACACCCUGAACAGCAUUACCCUGUCUUCCCCUUGAACUUCUCAUCCUGUCAUGCAGAGACCAUGUGUCAAAAUGGUGGUUUCCCAAGAUAGAGGGGACCUGGGAUCCUGAGUGACUGCUGGAGCAUGAGCCACACCCCCAGAAAUGCCUAGACCAAGUGUACUACACUGUGAUAACAGGAAACAGCAGGAUUAGUCUCCCAUUCUAAUGCCGAUACAUUUGGGAUUAUUUGUUCCUGCAGCAGAGCUUAGUCUAUGCUGACUAAUAGACCUGGCAGGACGCCAACAGAGCAAAGAUGGGCUGAAGACUUGGGUAUCCAUGAUUUUCCUUCCUCUCUAGCUCAUGAUAAAAAUUUGAAAAAGUUUUUCCCCCAUCUUAGAAAAAAAAAAAAGAUUAAAUGAUUGAGCCGCCAAGGUCACAAUAUAUAACAAUUAAUUGGCUUUGGACUCCACUAUUCUCUUCAACAAGAUUUUAUCUUUCAAAGACUAUAUAACUCCAGUCAACAGAAGUACCAAUUCUGCAGCCAGCUAUAUGGGGACCUAAGUAAAUUUCUGCUAACAGGGUAAUUAUUAUGGAAGAGACAAUGUGUACUGACUGACUUUCCAACUUAGGAAGUCAAUAAGGUUGUCCCAUUUUAUGAGUAAACAAGUGGGGGUGCAGGGAUCUGAGAGCACUUGUCUAGGGUCACAAGCAGGCAAGUAAUAUAGCAGCAUUGAUAUCCAGGUGGUCAGGGUACCAGAUGCCUAAAAACUAAGCCACUGAAGCAUGAAGUCCUGAAGGGUUACACACGAACUAAGAGUCUGUUCAGGAAAUUUUAGUAAUAUCCCAUCAUUUUAGCUGAACUAAUAAAUUCCACCCCCUCAGGAUCAGGACCAUACUUUGGUUAUACCUCAAUCCCCAAGGAUCAGCACAACAUCUGGCACAUAAAAGGAUAUACAACACACAAACAAACAGCAUCAAAAGUGUGCUGAAUGGUGGAGUCACCUGAACUUGAGCUCUUACAUAUAACUGUUUUUCUAAUGUUUUAAAGAUUUGUUUUUAUUAUUUUUUACUAAUGUGUAUAUGAAAGAGAGUGGAUGCCAUAUAUGUGCAGGUGCCCGGGGGUCAGAAGAGGGUGCCAGAUGCCCUGGACCUGGAGUUACAGGUGGUUAUGAGUCACUCAAGCAUGGGUGCUGAGAACUGAACAGGUCCUCUGGAAGAACAGCAAGUGCUCUUAGCAGCUAAGCCAUCUCUCCUAGCCCUGAUACUAACCAUUUUAAUUGAGUUAUACUUGAAGAUGUCUUGAAAUGCAUUGUGUUCAUUAUCCAAGUUGAAUACUUUCGUAAGUUAACAAGGAUAUCACGAGUUAGGUAAGUAAAUAUUGGGACUAUCUAAUGCAAAUCACUAAAAUCAGCCUACUAGCUAGAGCCACAAAUACUCAUGGUACCACAGAGUGUCAAAGGAAUUACUCAUAAGGAGCAUGUUCAUUAUGUCUUUGUUUUGUGGUGAUUGUUUGAUUUUUGAGACAGGGUCCUUUUAUGUCACCCAGGUGGUCUUUGAACAGACCAUGUAGAUUAGGCUGGCCUCAAACUUGUGGUCAUCCUCCUGCCUCAGCCUCCUUAAUGCUGGAAUUACAAGUGUGCAUCACCACUUGGUCCACCUGGGCCUCUGACCAUUUCCAAGUCUGCGGCUAUUUGUGAGACAUGUUAUGGUUGUACUCUGGAAUGGGGCAAACCUUCCUAACCAGCCACACAGCACACAUGUUAUGAACCUGUAGCAUAGGUGCACCGAUCACUUUAAGAAAAGAGGACAGGACAGCCCGAGGAACGCAAUGAUUGCUGCAAGAAUAUAAACAUGGGUUGCACUGGAACUGGCUACAUGCUUUGUAUAAACACUAAUAAAGUGAGUUCAGGCUGAGCUGUGACUUUAAAGGAAAUUCUUCCCCAUAAACAUGUCCUGCCAUGCCCUAAUAACUCCUUAAUUUGAUGCACAUUUAGGAAGGAUGAUGCUAAGUAAUCACAGAAUAACGUUAAGGUCUGUUGCGAAGGGGGCGGGGUGAGUGAUGCAACUUGGAGCUAACACCAUCCACCAGAACGCUGGCUUCUUUUCUUGUUUCACACAUGGAGGGAAUUUGCCAAGUGACAUGCAGGAAAUCAGAGGCAGGUCUCUGAAGGUUCAGUACAAGGAAAUUCUGGGUGUCAUUUGAUGGCACUACGUGAGUCUCCUGGCUGGUCCAUUUCUAGUCAGUCUUCUCUAUCUGGAGAUGGUAAAGAUGGUUCCCAUUUGCAUGUGUGUCUCUCUACUUUCUAGAAUAGAGCUCUUGCUUUUCGAUGACACCCAAAGCUCCUUGAGAAAAGAGAAUGCUUGCCACUUACAGAGGCAUCCACAAGCUAGGCACAGCUCUGCAUCCGUGUACGGAGGGACGGUGGCAUGAAGUCAGGAAGAAGUAGAUAAGUGUGGAGCUUAGAGGCUUACAGCCCAUCUUAUAACAUGCUAAUUGUGUGGUUUGGGAAAACCAUCCUUGUUGUCUACAAAAUGGCUUAGUAGCCCUUGCCGAUCCUCAAAGGUCUUGUGAGAAAACCAAAUGAGAUCAUGUGGGGUUGGGGGGGGAGAAUUUGAUAAAUUUUAAAAGGCUUGAAUAAAUUCAGGAACCACUACUGCUGAGAAAGUACAAAAAUGAUGGCUAAUGAUAGUUUUUCUCUGUAUUGUUUUCAUAAUGUAUCAAGUUCUAUUCAUUUCCUAAGUCCUCCUAACAAUCCCAUAACAAUCUGAUCCUAUUCUGCCAUUCUGUGGGCAAGUAAGGUCCAGAGAGGUUAAGGCACUCGCCCCAGUUCAGACACAUCGGGAAGCACUGUCCACAGAGUAAUGGUUCUAAAGAACAGCUCUCUGCCUCGGCUCCUGCUCUCUGCCACUAAGUUCUCAGGAAACUAAAGACGUCAGUUUAUUAGCCUGUGAGCAUGAGGACAAGGACUGCAUGGGGGUCCCUUCCAGGUCUCCAGCAACCAGUGAAGGACGAGGAAGGUAAGAUUUUUAAUCAGGUGAUGGCAGUUGGUUCCCCUUCCUAACCACCUGCUUGUGGACUAACCUGCCAGCUGUGUACAGCCACAUUUAACCAUGCUAACUCCUCUCCAAGUCCACAGGCCCCGUUCUUCAAUCCUCCAUGGUUCUCCACCUUCUGCGAGAUAAAGGGCCUCGGUCCAAUACUCAACUGUCUAGAAACGUAACCCAAAUGGCUCAUCCAACAGGUAGGUCCUCUGCGGCCACGAGGCUCAUCUCAGACACCACGCCUUUGCCCAGACGACUCUCCCAGCUGCAGCGUCCUCUCCUCUAGAGCAAAAUGAACUGAAGACGUCAAGAAGCUGGGCUGAGGAAAGGCGACCUCCUUCAGUAGACUGAAGAGCAGGAAAGGAGGAGAAUGUCUUUACAGUGGGACCGUGGGUCCAGGGCAGGCCCACCAAGCCUGCUGAGGCGGGAGUCACGCUUUGCCAUCUGGCACUGAUAAAAUGCGAAGGGACAGGAACAAGACAUGGAGGGAGAAGGGCCCGUCUGAUUGUCCAACCCAUCCUUCAUGUCCAGACUCAGGGAAGGCAAGUCUCCUUUCAUCAUCCAUGAAACCAUAUCUUGCUUAUUAUGACAAUUUAAAAAACAUCCCUGAUUAUUCCUCGGGGAAUCCAAUUUGUUUCCUUUGUAAAGAGGAAACAAUUCUCUUCUCAGUUUGGGAGGUGGGGACAUUCCAUUUAUCUUGAGGGGGGAAGAAAUCUGUUUCCCAUUAUGAAUCACGUUCUAUUCAUAGGUCUAUUUGUGAAGAAUAAAUCUCUACAAUUCACGUAGAAA
Molecule: long non-coding RNA, 6352 nt
Organism: Peromyscus californicus insignis
Lineage: Eukaryota; Metazoa; Chordata; Mammalia; Rodentia; Cricetidae
Exons: 2
Source: RefSeq, a predicted model, not a curated record